Molecule: long non-coding RNA, 822 nt
Organism: Xenopus laevis (African clawed frog)
Lineage: Eukaryota; Metazoa; Chordata; Amphibia; Anura; Pipidae
Exons: 3
Source: RefSeq, a predicted model, not a curated record
UUCUCAUUAAAUAUUUUUUUUCUAUUAACAAGGAGGAACCUGAAGAAGAAAGCAAGCUUAAAAGCUUUUCUUUACACAAAGAACAAUCUAUGGAAUCUUCCCAGCAUGCCUGUCAGCCUGAGGUAAAAAGGAAACAACAAACUAAAUGAGCAACAAAGCUUCCAAUAUUGCAUGAACUAUGCAAAAUGUAUUCUAUCUUGUCUAUUAAAAUAAUAUAAAAUGUGUUUCUCCUCCAGGUCCAUAUCAAACAUGCAUUUGGAGAACUGUUCCCGGACCCUACUGACUGUUUUGAUCUCGGAAAAGUUAUUGGAACUGGCGGAUUUGGAGUAGUUCAUAAGGCAUGGGAUGUUACUUCAAUGAAAAAAGUGGCUAUAAAAGUCAUUCAAGAGCUUACGGUAAUGUAUAUUGUUUUACAAUUCAACUCAAUAUAAUGAGAAUGUUACAAAAAGUGUUGUGUUAUACUUACAAAACAACUGUUUUUAAAAGGAAACCUUACAAACCAAGCUUAGCAGGUCAACCUCUUAUAUAAGGGAUGGCCAUGACGUAAUCUAAACUGGAAUUCCUAAUGACUCGGAAAUUGCCUUCUAAAAAAGCCCCAAACUCUAAACCAGACUGUAAAAUAGUCACAAGAGAUUUAAUAUAUUAUUAUUUUGCAUACCAUUUAUUAAAUCAAUGCCUUACUAACUAUAUCAACCCCAUGUAAUAUUUCAACCUUAUAAAAGGCAAUUGUUUGACUUAUAUUUACUACUCUGUAACAAUACAAUUGAGUAAUCACCUUCAUUUUAACAGAAGGGGAAUACAAUCACAGCCAGCAAAGCCACA